RNAcentral lists this transfer RNA (68 nucleotides) under Oomorphoides metallicus. RNAcentral describes it as "tRNA-Trp". The record is from RNAcentral. Lineage: Eukaryota; Metazoa; Arthropoda; Insecta; Coleoptera; Chrysomelidae.
AAGGAUUUAAGUUAAACCAUAAACUAUUAGCCUUCAAAGUUAAAAUUAGACUGAUAAUCUAAGCCUUA